UGUAGAUAUUUGUUGUGUAACUGCCUUAAGAAGUUGUGUUUUUAUUGGGUUGCUUUAAUUAAAUUCUGGAAAAGGAGUCGCUCAUUUGAAGUGCGGUCCACGUGUAUAGGCCUCGAAUGAACGUUGAUAUGCUUAUUGUAACUAAAUUAUCUUUGCUAAUAUGCUUUAAGUUUUGACAAAGGUUUUAAUAUUAACUUGACUAAACCAAUUCACGUUUAAUUCAAUAUUGGUCAACGUGGUAUGUGUUGUAGCGAAUUUUUGUUAAUCUAUUUUCUUUAUUUCCAGGUCUAAUGCUUUGAGGCCUCUGAUAAAGGGUGACAUAAGGAGACUGGGGUGCAUCUAGAGUAGUGUCCAAGGUCUAAUGCUUUGAGGCCUUUGAUUAAAGGGUGACAACAGGAAUGUGAAUCUGGAACGCUGUGUGAAAGGAGCAUGUGCAGUUGAUUUGAACGGUUGUUAAAGAUGUUGGUGGAAGAGAUGUGAAGAUGCGUUCAGCUGAGCAUGCAUGAGUUCUACAGGGAUUCAAACAUGAUUGCUUUUACUGUAAUUCUGGCUGUGGAAAGAUCAGUAGCUGUCUGAUUGUUCUUCAGGGACUGAUGACCAGCAUGAUGUGCUGAUGGCAGUCACUGUGGGUGUGUGUGCUUAUUGACAGGUGCAGUGGUGACUGCUCCUUUGUGCCAUGUGAAUAUGAAUGCGGCGUGUGUUUAAGGUCCUGGAUUGGGGCAACGUGUUGAUUGUGACCAACUAACCAAUGGCAGUCUCUUAGGGAGCUCAAGAUUAUCCAGGAUGGCUCUGGAAAAACCAUAUGGACGGUUUUACCUGCAUCUGACUCUUCUGAAUGAUGUUCCAGAGAGCUUCGAUUCUUUUAUCGCUUUCUGAUUUGAAGUCACUGGUCUUUUUGAGCAAUUAAGUGACCUUUUCAAAGCUGUCGUCUACGUUACAACUGCAUUUUUGACUACCAUUUUCAACAGCACUACGUUGCAGCUACGCAUUACUUCAAUAAAGUCCUAAAAUCAAA
Long non-coding RNA from Sinocyclocheilus grahami, 1015 nucleotides. RefSeq lists it as uncharacterized. The transcript has 12 exons. The record is from RefSeq and is a predicted model, not a curated record. NCBI's taxonomy places the organism in Eukaryota, Metazoa, Chordata, Actinopteri, Cypriniformes, Cyprinidae.